Molecule: ribosomal RNA, 253 nt
Filed under: uncultured bacterium
Lineage: Bacteria
Description: partial 16S ribosomal RNA
Rfam family: Bacterial small subunit ribosomal RNA
Source: RNAcentral
UACAGAGGUCUCAAGCGUUGUUCGGAUUCAUUGGGUUUAAAGGGUGCGUAGGCGGCUUUGUAAGUCAGUGGUGAAAUAUGGCAGCUCAACUGUCAAGGUGCCAUUGAUACUGCGGAGCUUGAGUACAGAUGAGGUAGGCGGAAUUGACGGUGUAGCGGUGAAAUGCUUAGAUAUCGUCAAGAACACCUAUAGCGAAGGCAGCUUACUAGGCUGUAACUGACGCUGAGGCACGAAAGUGUGGGGAUCAAACAGG